This 440-nucleotide ribosomal RNA is filed under the name uncultured bacterium. Its description in RNAcentral is "bacterial SSU rRNA". It matches the Rfam family "Bacterial small subunit ribosomal RNA", at positions 338 to 775 of the family's 1533-position model. The record is from RNAcentral.
CCUACGGGUGGCAGCAGUGAGGAAUAUUGGACAAUGGAGGCAACUCUGAUCCAGCCAUGCCGCGUGCAGGAAGACUGCCCUAUGGGUUGUAAACUGCUUUUAUAGAGGAAGAACUAGUGCUACGUGUAGCACCUUGACGGUACUCUACGAAUAAGGAUCGGCUAACUCCGUGCCAGCAGCCGCGGUAAUACGGAGGAUCCAAGCGUUAUCCGGAAUCAUUGGGUUUAAAGGGUCCGUAGGCGGGUCUGUAAGUCAGUGGUGAAAGUUUACGGCUCAACCGUGAAAUUGCCAUUGAUACUGCAGGUCUUGAAUUAUUGUGAAGUGGUUAGAAUAUGUAGUGUAGCGGUGAAAUGCAUAGAUAUUACAUAGAAUACCGAUUGCGAAGGCAGAUCACUAACAAUAUAUUGACGCUAAGGGACGAAAGCGUGGGUAGCGAACAG